AACACAUGCAAGUCGAACGGGCGUAGUAAUACGUCAGCGGCAGACGGGUGAGUAACGCGUGGGAACGUACCUUUUGGUUCGGAACAACACAGGGAAACUUGUGCUAAUGCCGGAUAAGCCCUUACGGGGAAAGAUUUAUCGCCGAAAGAUCGGCCCGCGUCUGAUUAGCUAGUUGGUGAGGUAAUGGCUCACCAAGGCGACGAUCAGUAGCUGGUCUGAGAGGAUGAUCAGCCACAUUGGGACUGAGACACGGCCCAAACUCCUACGGGAGGCAGCAGUGGGGAAUAUUGGACAAUGGGGGCAACCCUGAUCCAGCCAUGCCGCGUGAGUGAUGAAGGCCCUAGGGUUGUAAAGCUCUUUUGUGCGGGAAGAUAAUGACGGUACCGCAAGAAUAAGCCCCGGCUAACUUCGUGCCAGCAGCCGCGGUAAUAC
Molecule: ribosomal RNA, 432 nt
Filed under: uncultured soil bacterium
Lineage: Bacteria
Description: bacterial SSU rRNA
Rfam family: Bacterial small subunit ribosomal RNA
Source: RNAcentral